GUCUAGAUAGUUUAAUGGUAAAACUAAUGCCUCAUAUGCAUUCAAUAUAGGUUCAAUUCCUUUUUUAGACA
Molecule: non-coding RNA, 71 nt
Organism: [Candida] anglica
Lineage: Eukaryota; Fungi; Ascomycota; Pichiomycetes; Serinales; Debaryomycetaceae
Source: the annotation of a GenBank genome assembly